GACUUUCUGUGUGCAUGUUCUCUUUCAUGAAGCCAAGGACAAAAAGAGAUAGCAGACUUGGACUGAAAUUGAGAGGAACACAUUAAAAUCAGUCUGAAGGAUUGUCUUGAAGUAUUGUGAAACUUCACAGAACAUAAAGUUUUAUUCUGCAAGCUCUACAAUAAGAGUCACAGAAAGGGUUUGGAAUGAUACACAAGACUGGCGUGGUCACAGACAUGAAUCAAUGUGGUAAAUGGAGAGCAAAAAAGGGUCCAGGCAUACUUGUAUGUUCUUGAAGAUUCCACACAAGGAAAAAAAAGAUCCUGUCUUUAGGAAGGGUGGAGCACAGCCUUUUUUUGGUUCAUUAUAUUAUGCACCUAUUGUCAACAUUUUGCAGAAAAGACAAUGAAUCUAGAGGCUUUCAAAUACAUUACACUGAAAAAGUGCUUAACAGUGAUACGAGAGUUAAAAAUAAUGAUACAAGAAAAUUGAAAAGAAAAAGACUGACAAAAUUCCAGUAGAAUUCACUGAACCAGAACAGCAAAUAUUCUAAAAUCAAAAAACCAAGGUUUUUUAGUGAGGAGAUAUUUUAUCUAUUUUCAGCAGUUGCUGUGAAGAUAAAACCAAGGGUUUUUAAAUUUAUAUGGUCCAAAAAUGCAUAGAUACCACAGCCUCAGAAGCAGGUACAAGUUCUAUCCAUUAUAGGAAAGGGAAUGGAAGACUAGCCCUAAUCUGAUUUUCCAGGUUUUUUUAAUGUUUGCUAUGACAGAAGCCAUUAUUAAUUAAAUCAAAAUUUAACCCAUCCCUAGAAGGCACUUUAAAAUUCAACUUGUUUCAGAAAUCCCACAGAGCCCUGGGGCAUCAGGGUCUGAGGAGGACAUGAUGUCCAAACAGGCAGCUCUGAGGAAGAAACACAAUUCCUAGAGAACCAAGCUAUUAGGAAAAAACUCCAGUUAUGAACAGCAUCAAAUUCUUCAUAGCACUCUAAAGCUCAACAAGAUGUAGCCUAGAAGCUGUCAUUCUGCUAUUUGGAUAUCAGGCAUCCAUUUGGAGAGUGGGAUAGCUAUGGAGCACAUGGAAAUGCUCCCAGUAUGAGCAGCUGUGACUGAGAUGAUGGAUAGCACAGGUCUUUGCCACUGGAUCUGAACAUUUCAGUUGCUAUGAACCAUUAGUACAAACACCACCCUGGAUGCUCUGUCACUGACUAAAGUUGUGGUACAUGGAAAAGGCUCAUGCUCAGCUCAGCCUUCUGCCUCAGGCACUUCCUCUAAGGGCACUGGGAAACAGAAAUAUAGGGAAGAAAAGGUUUGUGAUUACACUGAGAUUCUCUUGUGCAUGUUUGCAUAAUAUAUUUCCCAUAGCAUAAUAACUCCCUAGCCUGUUUUUAGCUGUCUGCCUACAAUACUGGAUGAAUAGCAGGAUUAGAAAUGUCCUUGUUACAAUUUUAUUCCCUCUCCAUGCCAUUUUUCUCAGGAUUGUACUUCUUUUCCUCUCCUGUACAAGAUAAUAAAAUAAUGAAAUACCUUUCCUAUUAUCCAGCUAUUCAGCUGAAAAUAUGAGGCUAAUGAAGGCAUGACUCAAUGUCCAUUUGGAAAGUCAAUCAAAGUGAAUUUCAAUCAAUUCUCAAAGGUUUACAAAUGAGCUGAAA
Molecule: long non-coding RNA, 1627 nt
Organism: Prinia subflava (tawny-flanked prinia)
Lineage: Eukaryota; Metazoa; Chordata; Aves; Passeriformes; Cisticolidae
Exons: 3
Source: RefSeq, a predicted model, not a curated record